UAGGGCGACAGCAAACUUACCGAUUACCAGGCGGGUCAUGAAAAAACCAUCACCGGUCUCCUUCCGGCGUUGUCAGGGUGCAACGUUAUUUACGGAUUGG
Molecule: non-coding RNA, 100 nt
Organism: Desulfobacteraceae bacterium 4572_89
Lineage: Bacteria; Pseudomonadati; Thermodesulfobacteriota; Desulfobacteria; Desulfobacterales; Desulfobacteraceae
Source: Rfam